CAUCGCGUGACCGAGUGGCGAGGUAAGGGCCUGCAAAACCCUUUACGGCAGUUCGAAUCUGCCCGCGAUAU
This 71-nucleotide transfer RNA is filed under the name Mucilaginibacter segetis. It matches the Rfam family "tRNA". Rfam says of the family: Transfer RNA (tRNA) molecules are approximately 80 nucleotides in length. Their secondary structure includes four short double-helical elements and three loops (D, anti-codon, and T loops). Lineage: Bacteria; Pseudomonadati; Bacteroidota; Sphingobacteriia; Sphingobacteriales; Sphingobacteriaceae. The record is from Rfam by way of RNAcentral.